This is a long non-coding RNA of Hibiscus syriacus, 141 nucleotides long. RefSeq lists it as uncharacterized. The transcript has 2 exons. NCBI's taxonomy places the organism in Eukaryota, Viridiplantae, Streptophyta, Magnoliopsida, Malvales, Malvaceae. The record is from RefSeq and is a predicted model, not a curated record.
CAGCAAUGAAGAAGUAAUCAAACCCACUAGCAUAUGGUGUUGCGAUUACCAAAACGCCCCUUAAUCACAGAAAAAGGUUAAAUAGUGAAUUCACUUAAUUCUCAGAUUAGAUAGCAGUUUAGGUAAAAAAGGCAUACAUAU